Molecule: ribosomal RNA, 253 nt
Filed under: uncultured bacterium
Lineage: Bacteria
Description: partial 16S ribosomal RNA
Rfam family: Bacterial small subunit ribosomal RNA
Source: RNAcentral
UACGUAGGGGGCAAGCGUUGUCCGGAUUUAUUGGGCGUAAAGAGCGUGUAGGCGGCCAGACAGGUCCGUUGUGAAAACUGGAGGCUUAACCUUCAGACGUCGAUGGAAACCGUCUGGCUAGAGUCCGGAAGAGGAGAGUGGAAUUCCUGGUGUAGCGGUGAAAUGCGCAGAUAUCAGGAAGAACACCCGUGGCUGAGGCGGCUCUCUAGUACGGUACUGACGCUGAGACGCGAAAGCGUGGGGAGCGAACAGG